Molecule: ribosomal RNA, 386 nt
Filed under: uncultured bacterium
Lineage: Bacteria
Description: bacterial SSU rRNA
Rfam family: Bacterial small subunit ribosomal RNA
Source: RNAcentral
AUUGAACGCUGGCGGCAUGCCUUACACAUGCAAGUCGAACGGCAGCACGGGAGCAAUCCUGGUGGCGAGUGGCGAACGGGUGAGUAAUAUAUCGGAACGUGCCCAGUAGUGGGGGAUAACUGCUCGAAAGAGCAGCUAAUACCGCAUACGACCUGAGGGUGAAAGGGGGGGAUCGCAAGACCUCUCGCUAUUGGAGCGGCCGAUAUCAGAUUAGCUAGUUGGUGGGGUAAAGGCCUACCAAGGCAACGAUCUGUAGUUGGUCUGAGAGGACGACCGGCCACACUGGGACUGAGACACGGCCCAGACUCCUACGGGAGGCAGCAGUGGGGAAUUUUGGACAAUGGGCGCAAGCCUGAUCCAGCAAUGCCGCGUGCAGGAAGAAGGCC